UUUCCGUAGGUGAACCUGCGGAAGGAUCAUUAUUGUAUAACGUAGGUGCGAGGACUCUCGCUGACCCGAAAUGACGUGCACGCCCGAGUGCCCUCACACACAUCCAUCCCCCCCCUAUGUGCACCACCGGGUGGGUCCCCCUUUGGCUUGUUCGGAGGGGGGCUUACGUUUUCACACAAACUUUGUAUGCAGUGUAGAAUUUAUUUUUUGUUUUUGCGAUCACGCAAUCAAUACAACUUUCAACAACGGAUCUCUUGGCUCUC
RNAcentral lists this unclassified non-coding RNA (263 nucleotides) under plant metagenome. RNAcentral describes it as "partial contains small subunit ribosomal RNA, internal transcribed spacer 1, and 5.8S ribosomal RNA". The record is from RNAcentral.